GUUUGCUCUUUGUGCUAAGGGUACGUGUUCAGCAGAAGGAACUGGCAGGAGCAUGAGCUCCCUCUCUCACUUUGCAUGCUUGACCCUGAGACCUUGUGUUCUCCUGAAGCCUCUGCCACGCAAUUUCUUCCAUCUUCUUCCUGUCUGAUGAUUUCCCCUGGACUAUCCCAUGGGCAUUUUUAUGUCAAUAGAUUGGAAUGUUUCUCUUCUCACUGGGAAAAGCUCCUUUGGUCUCAGUGAACUCAGAGGUGGAGAAAGUCAUAAGAAUCAGGGAGCCUGCCCCAAAUCACUUCCUAUUAUAAUUUUCCACAAAGACUGGAGGGGAGGCUUAGAACAUCUUCCUGCAGCGUCCAGCAAGAGAGUGAGGCAGACUCCCUUUCUCCUGCCAAAGCCACGUGGAGCCAGACAGAACCACAAGCAUACCUGUGGUGCUUGGAGGCCCAAGUAGAAACUUGAAUGCUCACGGCUGCAUUGGCAGCUUCUACUUGCCUGCCUGGAUCACUGUUCCUCAUGAGAACCUGGAAAAGCAGGACUAUCAUGCUUGCUUGACAGACGAAGAAACCAAGCCUCAGAAAAAACUGGCAAUGAGAAUAGAAGAAUCACAAACAAUGUAGCAGGCCCUUGCCAAGAUUUAAAUACAGAAGAAACAUUCAAAAGGACGGUAUCAAAUUAUCACAAAGAUGAAGAAAGUAAUGACUUACAUUCUCCAUCCUCUGGCUGGGUGACUCACCAAAGUGGAAAAUAAAGCACUUGGAGAUUACAGUUACUCCCCAAAAGAGGGGGAAAGGGAUGGGCUCUGGAGAAGCCAAUCCAGUUACAAGUUAACAUGCCACUGGAACAUCUGUGAUGGGAGGUGGCAGCUAAAUGCUUCGUGUCUCUUUGUGUUCUCCAGAAUCUUCAAGUAAGAAAGUCCAGUCCUGCCUCAGCAUUCUUCAUCUGGACCGCAGACGUGUUAAAAAGCACCUAAUGCGUGCAGGGUAUCAUGUGAGGAUAUGCAGAGUUGAGAGCAGUGCUGUGCAGAUGUUUUGUAGGCUCCUACCAGUGAAAGUCUCGUCACAACUCUCUUCUCUUCAAGAGUCAAAAAGUCCCCACAGAGAAGACCCACAUGCUAAUCCUGAGCAGACCAUGCAAUGGAAGCAUCUUGAGGCAGAGCGGUGAAGUUGAAAGCCCUGGACUAGGAACUGGAGCUGUAGAGUCCUGCUGUGGUUCUGCUGUUGAUUUACUUGUUUAACUCAGAUGAAAUAACAACCUCUCUGGGCCUCUUAUCUGUGAAAUGAGAGGUUGGCUAAUGUGGUUUCCCAGGAAUUUUCUGGCUCUAAGUUACAUUCAAUUUCAGCAGAAUAUUUGUUUCUAACCUUUCCCAUGCUGCUGCUGAGUUGGCCUAAUUGCUAGCCAUCCACUGAUUUCAUUCUGCCCCACCCCACCCUCAGAUGACUCCUUCUUUCCACUUAGAGAUAACAGCAUCAAUUAACUCAGGAUAAUUUCCCUCACUGCCAAAACUAUUUCCAAAAUGCAAACUUGUGGCUGCUGAUUCAUGCUGCUAGAGAAGCACUGUUUCUUUCUGUCUGGCUUCAUAUGUAUUGCCUCUACAGGAAGAGACCAAGUCACUGGUAAAAAGCUAGGGUAACCAGGAAAAGUGGCUCCUUCAGAUGACACUGUGAGAGUCAACAAGGUAAGAAAGAGGAAGCUUUAAAAUCACCACCAUCAUCACUUCUGAAAUGUGGGAAGUUAAUUAUGCAUGGCGCUUACCCUUGGGUACCUUAAAAUUGAAAACAUGUAAGCAAAACACCAUAUAUGGCCUGGCAUGGUGGCUCAUGCCUAUAAAUCCCAGCACUUUGGGAGGUGGAGGUGGGUGGAUGGCUUGAGCCCAGGAGUUUGAGAUCAGCUUAUGCAAUAUGGUGAAACCCUGUAUCUACCAAAAAAAAAAAAGAAAGAAAAGAAAAAGUAAAGACACACACAAAAAUUAGCUGGGUGCAGUAGUGCGUACCUGUAGUCCCAGCUACUCAGAAGGCUGAGGCAAUAAUGCUUGAGCCCAAGAGUUUGAGGCUGCAAUGAGCCAUGAUUGCACCACUGCACUCCAGCCUAGGUGGCAGAGCAAGAUCCUGUCUCAAAAGAAAAAAAAAAGAACCAACAAAAAACAAAAACCAUAUAAACAUCAUCUUAUAAAGUGAAUAAAUAUAUAAGUGAUUUAGGAGUCAACUCAUAUUACUCAAGAGCAUCCUGUUGAGGCCCAAGUCUCAUUGACAAGAUCUAAUUGGAGUUUAUAUGUGUAAGCCAACACUAUGAGAUGAAUGGGAUGAUGAGCAGAAAAAGAGUAGGGCCGGGGAGGGGACACAAAGAGAGACAUUCUUAGCACAAUGCCCAAAGGAGCUCCUUCUUUUACAUGGCUAGAUGACAAGAGGAAGUGAUGAAGUCAUAAAAGGAGUCAAUGAGAGAGAAAGAAAUGGGUGAGCAAAGUUCCUCAGUAUCAAAGGAAAUGUAGUUCAAAGGAGGAGAGGCUGGUGUGAAGAGGAAAAUGACAAAGGCGAGUCAAAGAAGCUAGGCCUGGAAUAGGUUUUUGGAAUAACUCAUUAUGAGGUCACUGACAACUUUGUCAUGAGAGUUUCUGUGGAAUUAGAGGGCAGGAUCCAGACAGCAUUAACUUACAUAGCAAAUGUUUGGAAUGAAAGUGAUGUUUCUAAAGUUGAGACUAUUCUUUCAGAAAGAUUAACAGCAAAGUUUGGUACUCAAGAGGAUAAUAAAAACAAGGGUAAAAUUUUGAGGAGGAAUAAACCUCGACCUGAGGUUAAAACAAAAGUGAAGAACUGAUUGGAAGCAGGGCAUUGACAAUAAAUAGAAGAAGAAUGGCACAAUGGAUGAAGCAAAAACCAGAGAAACGAGACAAGGUCACAAUCCUAGGUGAAGGAAUGAGCGGAGAGGAGGGUAAAGAGAUUCUGAGUUUUCAAGAAAAAAGAAUAUCAGCAGAGAGGCAGAUAUAAAACUGGGCAGUAACUUUUAUGUGGAGAGUUUCUUGAAGAUUUCAAGCACAGGAAGAGGGAAGAAGAGCAGAGUGCCACGAUCCAUGAUCUAGACUUAGAAAGUUCCAGAAGAAGAAGAAUUAGAACAAGUGAUUGGCUUAUCUCCAAAUAUGUCCAAAGAUGGGACUGAAGACAUUGCCUCACUUGCGUAACAGGGAACAAUUUACUGUAAAACUAGAAAAGAUUGGCGCAAAGCUUGAUUCUCUCACCUCUUAUUACUGUUGUCUCCAUUUCUAUUACUUACAUGGAGGGGCAGGAAAAAGAACCCAAAACAUUGCUGAUCCUAGCAAGAACUUCUGCACAUAUGUGACCAACUGCUCUGUAGGGUGUAUAUUUGGCAACCCAGAGUUCUGCUGGUGUGACAUACAACCAUUAAAUUACCUAAAACUUCUCGUUAGCUAGAAAAUUGUUUCUACUUAUAUCAUUUGUAAGUAUACUCUAAUUUUUUGCUGACUGGAGACCUAUUUUGGGAAAUAUAUACAGGUCUACAACUCCUUAUUGAAACAGCACCUAAGUAAGGCUCAGCCUCUUCUACUGAGUUUCACACACUAUAGUAGUUGUCAAUAAACUUUAUUCUCAGAUAUAUAUUCAAAGGUUUUAAAGAAAAAAUAUAUAUUCUUUCAUAAAUUUUUAAGUUAAUAUCUAAAAUUUUUCAUUAACACUCUAAAUGAUUACAAAGGAUAUAAUUUUCCUGUGUUAUAAAUGACUGACGUUGAAAAAUAGAACCAUUAUUUCAGUUUUUGAAAGGUACUAAUGACAUCAAAAUACCAUAGUGAUCAUUUAAAAACAAUAUUUUGAUUGACGUAUAACAUUUUAAAAUGUGCCAGAUUAUGAGUGUACAUCCCACUGGUUCCACAGAGUUAAGACACUCAUUUAACCAGCAAACAGACAGUUUAAGAAGUUCUUUUUUGCUCCAAGACAGUCCUUUGCCUCAAAGGUAACAAUUAUUAUGACUUUAAUAUCACAGAUUAGUUUCCUGUUUUUAAACUUUAUAUAAAUGGGAUUAUACAGUAGUUAAUUCUUUUGAAUAUAGUUUCUUUUGCUCAGCAUUAAGUUUAUGGAAUUUAUUGUCGGGAGUAGAAAUACGUCUUUCUUCUUGCUGUAUUGUAGUCCUUAGUAAGAAUAUACUGCAAUUUAUUUAUUACAUUUUUAGUGUACAUUUGAAUUAUUUUCAAUUUGAGGCUAUUAUGAGUAGUGCUGCUGUACAUAUUUUUAUACAUCCUUUUUUUGUGAUGUAUAUAAACAUUUAUGUUAGCUAUAUGUCUAACAGUGAAAUUGUUGGAAGAUAGGCUCAUGCAUAUAUUCAGCUUUAUUAGCUA
RNAcentral lists this long non-coding RNA (4336 nucleotides) under Macaca nemestrina (pig-tailed macaque). Its description in RNAcentral is "lncRNA (ENSMNEG00000045809.1)". The record is from RNAcentral. Lineage: Eukaryota; Metazoa; Chordata; Mammalia; Primates; Cercopithecidae.